This 2922-nucleotide ribosomal RNA is filed under the name Klebsiella pneumoniae HK787. Its description in RNAcentral is "bacterial LSU rRNA". It matches the Rfam family "Bacterial large subunit ribosomal RNA". The record is from RNAcentral. Lineage: Bacteria; Pseudomonadati; Pseudomonadota; Gammaproteobacteria; Enterobacterales; Enterobacteriaceae.
GGUUAAGCGACUAAGCGUACACGGUGGAUGCCCUGGCAGUCAGAGGCGAUGAAGGACGUGCUAAUCUGCGAAAAGCGUCGGUAAGGUGAUAUGAACCGUUAUAACCGGCGAUGUCCGAAUGGGGAAACCCAGUGCAAUUCGUUGCACUAUCGUUAACUGAAUACAUAGGUUAACGAGGCGAACCGGGGGAACUGAAACAUCUAAGUACCCCGAGGAAAAGAAAUCAACCGAGAUUCCCCCAGUAGCGGCGAGCGAACGGGGAGCAGCCCAGAGUCUGAAUCAGCUUGUGUGUUAGUGGAACGGUCUGGAAAGUCCGACGGUACAGGGUGAUAGUCCCGUACACCAAAAUGCACAGGCUGUGAACUCGAAGAGUAGGGCGGGACACGUGGUAUCCUGUCUGAAUAUGGGGGGACCAUCCUCCAAGGCUAAAUACUCCUGACUGACCGAUAGUGAACCAGUACCGUGAGGGAAAGGCGAAAAGAACCCCGGCGAGGGGAGUGAAAAAGAACCUGAAACCGUGUACGUACAAGCAGUGGGAGCACCUUCGGGUGUGACUGCGUACCUUUUGUAUAAUGGGUCAGCGACUUAUAUUCUGUAGCAAGGUUAACCGUAUAGGGGAGCCGCAGGGAAACCGAGUCUUAACUGGGCGUUAAGUUGCAGGGUAUAGACCCGAAACCCGGUGAUCUAGCCAUGGGCAGGUUGAAGGUUGGGUAACACUAACUGGAGGACCGAACCGACUAAUGUUGAAAAAUUAGCGGAUGACUUGUGGCUGGGGGUGAAAGGCCAAUCAAACCGGGAGAUAGCUGGUUCUCCCCGAAAGCUAUUUAGGUAGCGCCUCGUGAACUCAUCUUCGGGGGUAGAGCACUGUUUCGGCUAGGGGGUCAUCCCGACUUACCAACCCGAUGCAAACUACGAAUACCGAAGAAUGUUAUCACGGGAGACACACGGCGGGUGCUAACGUCCGUCGUGAAGAGGGAAACAACCCAGACCGCCAGCUAAGGUCCCAAAGUCAUGGUUAAGUGGGAAACGAUGUGGGAAGGCACAGACAGCCAGGAUGUUGGCUUAGAAGCAGCCAUCAUUUAAAGAAAGCGUAAUAGCUCACUGGUCGAGUCGGCCUGCGCGGAAGAUGUAACGGGGCUAAACCAUGCACCGAAGCUGCGGCAGCGACACUAUGUGUUGUUGGGUAGGGGAGCGUUCUGUAAGCCUGCGAAGGUGUGCUGUGAGGCAUGCUGGAGGUAUCAGAAGUGCGAAUGCUGACAUAAGUAACGAUAAAGCGGGUGAAAAGCCCGCUCGCCGGAAGACCAAGGGUUCCUGUCCAACGUUAAUCGGGGCAGGGUGAGUCGACCCCUAAGGCGAGGCCGAAAGGCGUAGUCGAUGGGAAACAGGUUAAUAUUCCUGUACUUGGUGUUACUGCGAAGGGGGGACGGAGAAGGCUAUGUUAGCCGGGCGACGGUUGUCCCGGUUUAAGCAUGUAGGCUGGUUAUCCAGGCAAAUCCGGAUAAUCAAGGCUGAGGUGUGAUGACGAGGCACUACGGUGCUGAAGUAACAAAUGCCCUGCUUCCAGGAAAAGCCUCUAAGCAUCAGGUAACAUCAAAUCGUACCCCAAACCGACACAGGUGGUCAGGUAGAGAAUACCAAGGCGCUUGAGAGAACUCGGGUGAAGGAACUAGGCAAAAUGGUGCCGUAACUUCGGGAGAAGGCACGCUGGUGUGUAGGUGAAGCCCCUGCGGGUGGAGCUGAGACCAGUCGAAGAUACCAGCUGGCUGCAACUGUUUAUUAAAAACACAGCACUGUGCAAACACGAAAGUGGACGUAUACGGUGUGACGCCUGCCCGGUGCCGGAAGGUUAAUUGAUGGGGUUAUCCGUAAGGAGAAGCUCUUGAUCGAAGCCCCGGUAAACGGCGGCCGUAACUAUAACGGUCCUAAGGUAGCGAAAUUCCUUGUCGGGUAAGUUCCGACCUGCACGAAUGGCGUAAUGAUGGCCAGGCUGUCUCCACCCGAGACUCAGUGAAAUUGAACUCGCUGUGAAGAUGCAGUGUACCCGCGGCAAGACGGAAAGACCCCGUGAACCUUUACUAUAGCUUGACACUGAACAUUGAGCCUUGAUGUGUAGGAUAGGUGGGAGGCUUUGAAGCGUGGACGCCAGUCUGCGUGGAGCCAACCUUGAAAUACCACCCUUUAAUGUUUGAUGUUCUAACGUUGGCCCCUUACCGGGGUUGCGGACAGUGUCUGGUGGGUAGUUUGACUGGGGCGGUCUCCUCCCAAAGCGUAACGGAGGAGCACGAAGGUUAGCUAAUCCUGGUCGGACAUCAGGAGGUUAGUGCAAUGGCAUAAGCUAGCUUGACUGCGAGCGUGACGGCGCGAGCAGGUGCGAAAGCAGGUCAUAGUGAUCCGGUGGUUCUGAAUGGAAGGGCCAUCGCUCAACGGAUAAAAGGUACUCCGGGGAUAACAGGCUGAUACCGCCCAAGAGUUCAUAUCGACGGCGGUGUUUGGCACCUCGAUGUCGGCUCAUCACAUCCUGGGGCUGAAGUAGGUCCCAAGGGUAUGGCUGUUCGCCAUUUAAAGUGGUACGCGAGCUGGGUUUAGAACGUCGUGAGACAGUUCGGUCCCUAUCUGCCGUGGGCGCUGGAGAAUUGAGGGGGGCUGCUCCUAGUACGAGAGGACCGGAGUGGACGCAUCACUGGUGUUCGGGUUGUCAUGCCAAUGGCACUGCCCGGUAGCUAAAUGCGGAAGAGAUAAGUGCUGAAAGCAUCUAAGCACGAAACUUGCCCCGAGAUGAGUUCUCCCUGAGACUUUAAGUCUCCUGAAGGAACGUUGAAGACGACGACGUUGAUAGGCCGGGUGUGUAAGCGCAGCGAUGCGUUGAGCUAACCGGUACUAAUGAACCGUGAGGCUUAACCUUACAACGCCGAAGAUGUUUUG